UGGUGUUGUGCUGAUUGUUUUCUCUUGAUGAAUGUUAAAUGGGUGAAAAAUGCACAGGUUCAAUCAUUGGUUGAUUAUGAUAUUGUUAGCUUCGGUUGAUAGAAACCAAGGCUAAAGAUGGAUUUAGUAUUAGUUGGCAUUAACUGAGGUGAAAAACUAGAUUUAGCCUUGGUUAUUGAGAAAUGAGGUUAAAAGCUGAAUUUAACCUCGGUUGAUGCUAAAAGAGGCUAAAUCCAUCUUUAGCUUUGGUUUUGCCUCAGUUACCCAAACUGAGGCUGCAACUCCCAUGGCUAAAGGCUUUAGCCUUGGUUGUAGAAAACUGAGGUUAAAAAUAGAUUUAGCUUCGGUUGGAGGUAACUGAGGCUAAAAUUUGGAUUUAGUCUCAGUUGGAACUUUUAGCUUCACUUGAAGAACCGAGAUUAUAAAAGCUUUUUUAGCCUCGGUUGCUAAAACCGAGGCUAAAGCCUUUAGCCAUGGGGGUUCCAACCUCGGUUAGGAUAAUUGAGGCAAAAAUGAGGCUAAAGGCUUUAGCCUCAGUUUUUAUCCUUUUUAGUUACAGUUUUGAACUGAAGCUAAGGGCAGUUUUGGUUGUAGUGACAGUAGCAAGUAAGAAGGGAUGCAAACCAUGUAACAAGGAGACUACAUUUCAUCUUAUCCUCUUGAUUUCGGAAAACCAUGACCAAGGAAUCAGUUGUUUUUGCUGGUGAAUGCUUGAGUCUUGUAGUUCUGCUGCACACACUGUCACACGCAAGUAAAUGUCAGAAAGAUGUUAUGAAUUUACCAUUGGAAGCAUCUAAACAGGAACCCAUAAUUUGUCCAGCUUAAUUUGAAUUACAUGUAUGCAAUUUUUAACUAAUUUCUAACUGUCUGUGCAUCAUCCACCACUCUGCCAGAGUGUCAGCUAAGUCCAUGAUUAUAUGAAAAUUGUAAAUAUUGAGGUUUGAAUUCCUUAUUAUUUCAAAAUAGGGAACUUUCCCAUUUGGAACUUAGUUUGUAUAGUUGGGGCCAUGAUUGGUAUAUCCUAGACAUUGGCUAGAGUAGAGCAACCGUGGGUGCCAGUCCACAUCUGCAAACUAAGCUCUGCACAGGAAAGUUCCCUGUUUGGAAUGAAUAGGGAACUAACUCGGCCUCCUCUAUAUUAUAUUUCUAUAAAUUACCAAUGUGUCAACGAAAAGUUUAUUUGAUAUGAAAAAGUAUACUGUUUCUACAUCAUUCGUAGUUCACCAAAUUCCCACUUACAUUCUUAACAAUAAAGUGAGUCUGCAAAAAUGAUUUCAAAGUUAUAAUUUCUAAACGAAACUAUUCUUCAAAUUAUCUAUCAUCCAGGCUGAUUCAGUUGCAUGCAGUGAGUUUUCAGAUGAGUAUGGCACCUUUUUAGCCAUUAUUGUUUUGUGCAAAUCUUCUAUUCCUGUUUGUUGAAGAAAAUAUCGUACUAAAUAUUAUAUGUUAUGAAUUUACUGAUCUAAACAUACUAUGUACUUGGUUUAGUCUUGCAUUAUCCAUUUUGUAAAUGUUUCCAUCAACUUGUUUGUUUAUCUGCAUUAUGACAAUAAAGAAUCUGUGCCCCAUAUUCUAUUGAUGUCUUGUUGAAUUCAGUGGUCAUCUUCAUUACACUUCUAUGUCGGAUUGGUGUAGACCAGCUCAGGAAUGAUGCGUUUGCAUAAUUUGUUUUGAGAACUGAUUGCGUGCAGGCAAAUAUACCACAACUGGUGGGGUACUGUACGAUCUUUCCUUCCAAAAUGCCACUUGUGUAGGACAUCAAAAUGAUAGGCCCCACCAUGAGGAUUAUGCUUCUAGAAAACCCAAGCUGAUUCACUCACUAUAUUGACCACACCUUAAUGUCGAGUCAGACUGUCUGUUUCCGAUUGAUUACAGUGGUAUGUCCAUCUGAUGCAUGAAAAGGACAUUUUUGUUCCAACUUUCAAGUGAUCUUCCUGGUGGGUCCUAUUGCAUUCACAGUGUUAAUGCCACACAAGUGGUAUGUUUGUGCCAAAGAUGGUACGGUGCCACAAGUUGUGGUGAAAGUGCAAACGUGGGAAUAAUUCUUUCAUUUUGUUUUCUGCUGCAGGUCUCCUCGGAGAUAUUUUCUCCCUAAUUCACUGUUCACAAGAUCUUGGAGACCAGGGUAUCGGUUGUUAUUGCUGGUGAAUGCUUGAGAUUUCUGAUUUUCCUGAACACAAUGUCACACGCAAGUGAAUGUCAGGAAGAUGUUAUGGGCGUGCUUGGUCUGUGGAAUUGAAUGGAUAUCAUCUGAGAUUAAAGCUACUCAGGGCGAGAAUGCAACUCAGGUGAAAUCCACAUGUUCAUCUACAUUUCCAAUCGUCAAGAUACCAUUGCAGAUGGACAAAGAGCCUCAAGAUAAUGUUUUAGAACCGGUGACAACUCGUCCCAACACUAUUAGCAUGGAAAAAGGUGGAGGAGGUGAAGAAGAUGAUGAUGAUUAGGAUGCAUUUCAGUCUUUUCCUGCUGAUAACACUUGUAUUGCUGCUCAUCUAGAAGUAG
Molecule: RNA transcript, 2502 nt
Organism: Magnolia sinica
Lineage: Eukaryota; Viridiplantae; Streptophyta; Magnoliopsida; Magnoliales; Magnoliaceae
Exons: 3
Source: RefSeq, a predicted model, not a curated record